RNAcentral lists this unclassified non-coding RNA (204 nucleotides) under Glomeraceae sp. RNAcentral describes it as "partial contains 5.8S ribosomal RNA and internal transcribed spacer 2". The stretch from base 1 to 71 matches the Rfam family "5.8S ribosomal RNA", at positions 84 to 154 of the family's 154-position model. Lineage: Eukaryota; Fungi; Glomeromycota; Glomeromycetes; Glomerales; Glomeraceae. The record is from RNAcentral.
GUGAAUCAUCAAAUUUUUGAACGCAAAUUGCACUCCCUGGUAUUCCGGAGGGUAUGCCUGUUUGAGGGUCGUUAGAAUCAAAAAUCGAUGCUUCGCUCUUUUUGUUAUUGUCAUCGCUUCUGAGUGACGCCGUCUUUCAAGUUUUGAUUCAGGUCAAAUUGGCUUAGAGUGCAUUCAUCCUCUACUAUUUAGGCGUAGUUGAAA